AGUCUUAUAUUCAAUAAUGAUAUUAAAUUGCAAAUUUAAUGGAAAAGUAAACUUUUAAGGCUU
This 63-nucleotide transfer RNA is filed under the name Sphaeroderma testaceum. RNAcentral describes it as "tRNA-Cys". Lineage: Eukaryota; Metazoa; Arthropoda; Insecta; Coleoptera; Chrysomelidae. The record is from RNAcentral. RNAcentral also lists the same sequence under 2 other names.